AUCUGAAAAAUACUCUGCAUUGAAAGCUUCUAGGAAGACUUCCUAGGUGAUUGGUGGGACCAAGGCCCCUCUUUUCAAUUUCCACCAGCGUUUGACGGACCCUCUUAACAUGAAUGUAGCCAGCUGUACUCUCUGUUCUAUAGUCACAGUCAUCACUUUGAAUAAUUUUUCUGUCUUCUUUAUCCAAUCCUCCGCCACCAGUGGGUCAGACCCCCUAUUGAAGGCAGGAGGGUUCAGCCCUCGGUAUUUCUCAAUAUUGCUCGUAUCCACCCCCAUAUGGGGACCCCUUGUUGUGGCACCGAUGCUGCCUCUGUCACAACUCUCUAUCUCUAAUCACGGUAUCUAGGCUCUCAACCACUCUGCACAGCCGAUUAAAGUCCUCCUGCUGUACGCCGGACUGCUCUGCAUGGGUUGCCGAUGGACCAGCAGCUUAUCUCGGCUGUACGGGAGGGGGCACAGUGUGACACGGGGGUCGCCCUUGAAAUGCAGCGAGUGGUACAUGGUGAAAUCCCAGGGCUCGUCGUGGGGCCCCUGGGGUGGGCUCACGACGGGGUCGGCCCCUACCCUUCUUCAUCACCUCCCUCGACUCACCUGUAUAAUAGCGGCACCCAUCAUUAGUACUCUUAAUUUGCUCUGAUACCAACUGUAACGCCCCAUUUUUUUUUCCAUAUUGGACGUACUUAACAAGCAACCAAUUCCAUAACAAAACGGUCAUGCACAAGGAAACAGUAGCAUAAUCCAUUAUCUAGUGAUCAAGAUUAUCCUACAAUCAUGGACAAGACAUCGCACACAAUACAACCAUACUCAAUAUCUAUGCUACCAUCGAUUCUACGUAUUCCAUUCAGUCAAAACAAAACGACACUCUUCAUCCUGUACUCUACACAUUAGGUUCGGAAUCCAACAACUUUGAUCCAGACUCCGUCCCUACAUCAUCUGUAAAAAGGAAACGCUAGCACUAUCCAACGAUUAAGAUAAUCCUACAAUCAUGGACAAGACAUCGCACACAAUACAACAAUACUCAAUAUCUAUGCUACCAUCAAUUCUAUAUAUUCCAUUCAGUCAAAACAAAACGAAACUCUUCAUCCUAUACUCUACACACUAGGUUCGAAAUCCAACAACUUCGAUCCAAACUCCAUCCCUACAUUAUCUAUAAAAAGGAAAGAGUGAGUUCAUUUAACUCAGUACGGUAAAACUCAAAAUACAUGCAUGAGAUGCAACAAUAUAAAACCCUAUGCCUCUACCAAUAGUUCACUACUGAACUCCAAUUAUUCCUCCUGCACCUACAACUCUACUUACCCUAGGUGUCCGUUCCUUGACGGCACUCCAGGAGUGCCAGUGGUACCAUUCACCGCCAAGAUUGGCAACCAUUGACACCUAUUGACCUCUAGUGGGUCACGCACGUAUACGAGUUUCAAUCAUUUUCGUCACCAAUAGCAGCGACCAUCAUUAACCUAUCGACCCCCUAUCAGGCCACACACACACACUCUAAUCCUUCUUCCCGUCACCACCAUCGGCGACCGUUAGCCAUCUCACGACCUAUACCAGGCCACUCACACACACCUGAUUUUCAUUCACUUGCGUCACCAACAUCGGCGACCGUUAGCCAUCUCUCGACCUAUACCAAGCAACUCACACACACUCUGAUCAUUCCCUCUCGUCACUGAUAUCAGCGACCACUAACCAUCUCUCGACCUAUACCAGGCCACGCACGUACACCAUUUUCAUUCAUUUGAUUUUCGUCACCAACAUCGACGACUGUUAGCCAUCUCUCGACCUAUACUAGGCCACUCACACAUACUCUGAUCAUUCCCUCUCGUUACUGAUAUCGGCGACUACUAACCAUCUCUCGACCUAUACCGGCCACGUACGCACACCUUUUUCAUUCACUUGCAUCACCAAUAUCGGCAACCAUCGUCUACCUAUCGACCCCCAUUGGCCACACACACACACACCACUCCUUCUCGUCCACUGUCUCUCUCUCCGCCCGCUGCCUGCGACAUGUCCUAAUUGCCCCUACUCACCCCGUCCUUCUUCCCCCAAAGCUCUUUC
Molecule: long non-coding RNA, 2049 nt
Filed under: Carica papaya (papaya)
Lineage: Eukaryota; Viridiplantae; Streptophyta; Magnoliopsida; Brassicales; Caricaceae
Description: long non-coding RNA (CPAP_LNC001954)
Source: RNAcentral